RNAcentral lists this ribosomal RNA (319 nucleotides) under uncultured bacterium. Its description in RNAcentral is "partial 16S ribosomal RNA". It matches the Rfam family "Bacterial small subunit ribosomal RNA", at positions 355 to 667 of the family's 1533-position model. The record is from RNAcentral.
UAGGGAAUCUUCCACAAUGGACGCAAGUCUGAUGGAGCAACGCCGCGUGAGUGAAGAAGGUUUUCGGACCGUAAAGCUCUGUUGUUGGUGAAGAAGGAUAGAGGUAGUAACUGGCCUUUAUUUGACGGUAAUCAACCAGAAAGUCACGGCUAACUACGUGCCAGCAGCCGCGGUAAUACGUAGGUGGCAAGCGUUGUCCGGAUUUAUUGGGCGUAAAGCGAGCGCAGGCGGAAGAAUAAGUCUGAUGUGAAAGCCCUCGGCUUAACCGAGGAAUUGCAUCGGAAACUGUUUUCUUGAGUGCAGAAGAGGAGAGUAGAAC